Molecule: long non-coding RNA, 1752 nt
Filed under: Erythranthe guttata (spotted monkey flower)
Lineage: Eukaryota; Viridiplantae; Streptophyta; Magnoliopsida; Lamiales; Phrymaceae
Description: long non-coding RNA (EGUT_LNC003607)
Source: RNAcentral
UCAAACAAAAGGCGGCAAAACUUCCACUCACCUCUCUCCCUCCCCGCUUUCUCUCUCCAGCCUCCCAAUUUCUCAUCUGUAAACAUCGCAGAAGCAUACAAUUUCACUCGACCGCGACUUUAUCUCUCCCUAUUAUAUUGUUCGAGCGGGAUAGAUCUGCGAACUACACCCUGAGAAACAGUGAGUUUGAUCUAUUUUAAUAUGUAUUCACGCAUAAUAUAAGAAUUUGUUAGUUUCGGGGGUUUUGCUCGAUCCAGUAUGUUUGAAUAUUUAUUUAUUUGGUAAUUUGAUUUGGUUUUUCUGCUGUUCUUUCUAGAAUUGAAGGUAUUGCAAUUGUGUUAUAGGAUUUCAUAAAUUUUGGUUAUUUCGUUUCCGCAUUUUAUUUAGGAUCAAUGUGUGGAUAUGCAUAUUGUAAGAAAACGUAUGACUGAGACAUGGGAUGGGAACAUUGGAUGAACGAUUUAGAACAAGCUCGCAGCUAGGGUUUCUGUUUUCUGUGGAUGCUACAAUAUAUAUUUUUUUAAUUUCUAUAGCUGUUGGAUCUGUGAAAAUGUUGUUACUUACUCGUAUGUGUUUAUUGAUUACGAAAGAGUCUUCAUACUAGGAGGUGCUCUUUCUAAAUAAGUAUGCGUUUUCCUUUUCGUUCUUUCAGUAGUUUAAAGAAAUCUUAUUCAUGGUAGAAGUUCCAGUUGAUUAUUACAGGAUUGCAUUGCAAAAGUGAUUAAACGCUAUGCUGAGUCGAUCCGAUUUCUAUCUGAAAAGCUUCUGUUACCUGUUCCAUUGCGGCAGGAAGAUGACUCGUUAAUGGUAGUGAUCAGAAAAACGAGAAGAAUUGAUCUCACUGGCAGAAGCAUGUGGAGUUAUCUCACCAGUUCAUCGUGGUAGACUAUUAUACUAUUCUAUUGCUUCAAGCUCAAUUUAAAUUCUAACUUCUGUUUGUUCAACCAAUUUGAUGCACUAUCUUGCUAUAUGCUCUACUGCUAGUGCUGAUUGUAGUUGUUCUUCUACCAAACUUCUCUACGAAUUUCCCUGCAUAAAUUUUUAUGGUGAAAUCUAAAUCCAGGGGUGUAUGUGAUGGGUUUACAGUGAAGAAUAUACGCCCCUGGUAUGUGUAAUACAGGGUGAUAUAUAGUCUGCAUAUUAGGCUUUAAAUUGGUCCUAUUAAUAUUUAUGUCUACGAAGAAAUCAAUGCUUCUUUCAAAGACGGAUUUCUGAGAUAGAUAUAUAGACGACACAGCUGUGAAUUACGUUCUUUAAUUUAACCUUCCCUACUAAAAAUUGUAUAGAAAAAUGGCUCACAUGGUGAGUAUGAAUUGUUAAAAAUAUAACUAUGAAAAAAAUGGAACUAUGGAAAAAUGUAACUGUUUAUGAUGUACAUGCAGCCCCUUUCUGGAACCUGUACUUUGAGCAGCAGAAAAUAACUUAUUGGUCAUACGCCAAUGUACAUACAACUGGGGGAAGAACAUGUUAACUACCAACUCAAGGGAAGAGGACAAAUGAAUGUAAAAAAAUUGUUAGCUGCCUAUGGUUAUCCUACUUCUGCAGUUUCGUUUCUUCUUGGAGGAAGCGGAUUCUGGUUAUUUGACUUUGCAACUUUAUCUGAUAUAUAACUUAUUUUCACUCAUUUUUCUUUGGCAUCAUCUUACUGGCAGGAAGAUGUAACCUGGCCUUUAGGGGUCUUGGUGCUCGAUGUUUCUGGUCAAAUCCUCUAACGCAGACAAAUCCUGCAAUGCAUAUUUGAAAUUACAAUUG